Molecule: ribosomal RNA, 55 nt
Filed under: Saccharothrix sp. ST-888
Lineage: Bacteria; Bacillati; Actinomycetota; Actinomycetes; Pseudonocardiales; Pseudonocardiaceae
Source: RNAcentral
GCGUGAGGGAAACGCCCGGUUACAUUCCGAACCCGGAAGCUAAGCCUCAAAGCGC